CCCGCACAAGCGGUGGAGCAUGUGGUUUAAUUCGACGCAACGCGAAGAACCUUACCUGGGUUUGACAUCCCGAUCGUACUCUAUGGAAACAUAGGGGUCAGUUCGGCUGGAUCGGUGACAGGUGGUGCAUGGUUGUCGUCAGCUCGUGUCGUGAGAUGUUGGGUUAAGUCCCGCAACGAGCGCAACCCCUAUUGUUAGUUGCCAUCAUUCAGUUGGGCACUCUAGCGAGACUGCCGGUAAUAAACCGGAGGAAGGUGGGGAUGACGUCAAAUCAUCAUGCCCCUUAUGACCUGGGCUACACACGUGCUACAAUGGUUGGUACAACGAGUUGCGAGUCGGUGACGGCGAGCUAAUCUCUUAAAGCCAAUCUCAGUUCGGAUUGUAGGCUGCAACUCGCCUACAUGAAGUCGGAAUCGCUAGUAAUCGCGGAUCAGCACGCCGCGGUGAAUACGUUCCCGGGCCUU
Molecule: ribosomal RNA, 464 nt
Filed under: uncultured Streptococcus sp.
Lineage: Bacteria; Bacillati; Bacillota; Bacilli; Lactobacillales; Streptococcaceae
Description: bacterial SSU rRNA
Rfam family: Bacterial small subunit ribosomal RNA
Source: RNAcentral